GUAUUGGUGUGAAGUGGGAGAACUAGAAAUGCCUGUUCACAUCAAUGUCAGUCAACAUACUGCAACACAAAUCAUCACUGCUAUCACAAACCAAGCUGAGGGGAACAUGGAGGAAGUCCACCAGAGGUCCAUAGAUGUGAAAGUCCUACUGAUUCCUUGGGGCAUGUUGGUGGUGGUGACAGCUGGUAUC
Coregonus clupeaformis (lake whitefish) is the source of this 190-nucleotide long non-coding RNA. RefSeq lists it as uncharacterized. The record is from RefSeq and is a predicted model, not a curated record. The transcript is spliced from 3 exons. NCBI's taxonomy places the organism in Eukaryota, Metazoa, Chordata, Actinopteri, Salmoniformes, Salmonidae.